Long non-coding RNA from Nerophis ophidion (straightnose pipefish), 1505 nucleotides. RefSeq lists it as uncharacterized. The transcript has 5 exons. The record is from RefSeq and is a predicted model, not a curated record. NCBI's taxonomy places the organism in Eukaryota, Metazoa, Chordata, Actinopteri, Syngnathiformes, Syngnathidae.
UGGCGUUAUAAACACGCUGCGGGGAGACGUUAGGAACUUUGUUGUUUGGAAACUUUUUGUUGUUUCCCGGUUUUUAGCCUCCUUUUCAGCAUUUGCAACGGCUUGUGGUGUCGAUUACAAGUGGCUUGAACACAUAUCAGUCAAAUGCUGCUGCGUCAGUGGAGCUUCCAUUCACCAGAGGGCAGAAGACUUUCCUCGUGUCGGGUGAACCCAGUGGCCUGAAGGUGAUGUAUCAGUCACACUUCUCUUUGACGCUGACCAGGCCAUGCAUGAUGGACACUUCUCUGACCAAGUUAUUACAGUUUCAACUCUUCUGGGAAGGCUGUCCACAAGGUUGCAGAGUGUUUUAAAGGAUUUUUGACCAUUCUUCUAAAAGCGCAUUGGGGUUUUAUCCGGUUCAGGUCAGGACUCUGUGCAGGCCAGUCAAGUCCCUCCACACCAGACUUUGUCAUCAAUGUCUUUAUGGAUCUUGCUUUUUCCACUGGUGCACAGUCAUGUUGGAAAAGGAAGUUUGGGAGCAUGGAAUUGUACAUACAUACACAUAUAGAUACAUACACAUAUAGGUUUUUUUUUUUUCCCAAGAUGGCGCUGCUGUAGUGGCUGCUGUAGGCAGGAGCUCUGUGCUCUUGUGUCAUCCUUUUGUGUUUCCCUUUUGUUUUCAUGUGUUAGUAUAUUUUUUUGCCUUUUGGUCCGGGACCCUUUGGGACUGUGUGACAAGGGGUGGCACUUUUGACCUCUGUGGUGCUUUUUUUGUGGACUUCUGGAUCUGCCUCCUGGGAGCCUUUUGGCCAUGGAAACCAGCUGCUGGGUCUCUGCUACACCAGUCUGUUUGGAGGGACUGGAGGAGAUGCGGAUGAGGGGACAGGACUGCGGAGCUAGCACUGAGCUACUGGGACGGAGAGGCUUCGCGGUGUCUUGACUGGGUGAGCAGGUGUCGGGCACCUCAGUCACCUUGGACGUAUCCUCGCUCAUCCAUGCGGACUGGACACUGGCCGAGAGUGGAGUCGGCUGUCUUGGUUGCUUUGUUGGGUCAGCUCCUGUCUCUGGCCAUGCUCCCUCCACCCCAGCAGACGAUGGCGUGGAACACCGCAGAGGCCACCACAGUGGAUAUGUUUCUUUUACUUUUUAUUCAUAGCUGUAUGUAGAAGUGUCUGCUUGUAUCUGCUGCUUUAAUGUCUUUAAUGUCCUCUGUGUUCUUUGAUGUUUGAUGUUUCCCUCUUACACACAUGUAAGAGGGAUGUGUACUAUGGCUAUGAGUUGUUGUUUUUUUCCCUUAGCCUCAGUCUGCACCCCCACUCCAGGGCCUAGGCUAAGACCGAUUUUUUAAAUUUUAUUUUAAUCUUCUAUUCUUUUCUCCCCACCCCUUGUUUACCUGUAUGUUAUCUUUUUUGUAAGGGGCGCUGGAAGCCGGCAGACCCGUCGGCGAUCCUGUUCUGUCUCCCUGUAAUGUUUGUCUGAUCUUGAAUGGGAUUGUGCUGAAAAUUGUAAUUUUCCUGAAGGAACUC